RNAcentral lists this long non-coding RNA (239 nucleotides) under Mytilus galloprovincialis (Mediterranean mussel). Lineage: Eukaryota; Metazoa; Mollusca; Bivalvia; Mytilida; Mytilidae. The record is from RNAcentral.
UGGGUGAUAUAUUGCGUGAUAGGGGAUGGACAUGUUGUCUUACUGAAGCCAAUAUUGCAACACCAAGAACGGCAGAUUCGUUUUAUGUAUGUUCAAAUGUACCUAGGACUAGACAUGCGCAUCAGACAACUGCAUGUAUUUUGCUUUAACUGUUAAUUUCGGAUUAUGAAAGCUAAACUCAGAAUAUAUAAUUAUGUCAUGACUCUGUGACGUUCACUGAUUUAAAAGACUGGUGUAUA